GAAACCGGAGCUAAUACCGGAUAAUAUAUUGAACCGCAUGGUUCAAUAGUGAAAGACGGUUUUGCUGUCACUUAUAGAUGGAUCCGCGUCGCAUUAGCUAGUUGGUAAGGUAACGGCUUACCAAGGCAACGAUGCGUAGCGACCUGAGGGGGUGAUCGGCCACACUGGAACUGAGACACGGUCCAG
Molecule: ribosomal RNA, 186 nt
Filed under: uncultured Staphylococcus sp.
Lineage: Bacteria; Bacillati; Bacillota; Bacilli; Caryophanales; Staphylococcaceae
Description: partial 16S ribosomal RNA
Rfam family: Bacterial small subunit ribosomal RNA
Source: RNAcentral